Molecule: ribosomal RNA, 513 nt
Filed under: uncultured bacterium
Lineage: Bacteria
Description: bacterial SSU rRNA
Rfam family: Bacterial small subunit ribosomal RNA
Source: RNAcentral
GAGUUUGAUCUUGGCUCAGAUUGAACGCUGGCGGCAGGCCUAACACAUGCAAGUCGGGCGGUAGAGAGAAGCUUGCUUCUCUUGAGAGCGGCGGACGGGUGAGUAAUGCCUAGGAAUCUGCCUGGUAGUGGGGGAUAACGCUCGGAAACGGACGCUAAUACCGCAUACGUCCUACGGGAGAAAGCAGGGGACCUUCGGGCCUUGCGCUAUCAGAUGAGCCUAGGUCGGAUUAGCUAGUUGGUGAGGUAAUGGCUCACCAAGGCGACGAUCCGUAACUGGUCUGAGAGGAUGAUCAGUCACACUGGAACUGAGACACGGUCCAGACUCCUACGGGAGGCAGCAGUGGGGAAUAUUGGACAAUGGGCGAAAGCCUGAUCCAGCCAUGCCGCGUGUGUGAAGAAGGUCUUCGGAUUGUAAAGCACUUUAAGUUGGGAGGAAGGGCAGUAAAUUAAUACUUUGCUGUUUUGACGUUACCGACAGAAUAAGCACCGGCUAACUCUGUGCCAGCAGCCG